UACGUAGGGGGCAAGCGUUGUCCGGAAUUAUUGGGCGUAAAGAGCUCGUAGGCGGUCUGUCGCGUCGGAUGUGAAAACCCGGGGCUUAACCCCGGGCCUGCAUUCGAUACGGGCAGACUCGAGUGUGGUAGGGGAGACUGGAACUCCUGGUGUAGCGGUGAAAUGCGCAGAUAUCAGGAAGAACACCGGUGGCGAAGGCGGGUCUCUGGGCCACUACUGACGCUGAGGAGCGAAAGCGUGGGGAGCGAACAGG
RNAcentral lists this ribosomal RNA (253 nucleotides) under uncultured bacterium. RNAcentral's name for it is "partial 16S ribosomal RNA". It matches the Rfam family "Bacterial small subunit ribosomal RNA", at positions 524 to 776 of the family's 1533-position model. The record is from RNAcentral.